AUUUGAUUGUGGGUCCUGAAAAUAAGUGAUUUAGCCUUGCAUAAAGUGAUUUAACCUUGGAGACCGAGGCUGGAAGAGAGCAAACAGACCCUGGGCCAGUUUCCUGUGAGAGGGGAAGCUGCUCUCCCUUGGCUGAUCAAGAGCAAAACCAUGGAUUGCCCCUGGAGCUCCUUCUCCUGGAGUUCUAAGCUGGUUUGACAGGUCAUUCAUCUCUUCUUCCAGCUCCAUGUCCCACAGCUGUGCUGGGAUACCUGGAGCCACCUGGAAUUCUCUCCUUUCUUGCUGAGAUGUGAAGUGCAGACACGACUGAGCACAGCCAGGCUGCUGGCACGUAUUUUUAUUUUGUUUCUGAAAAAAAUCUGCAAGGAUUGCUGCUGAGAUAGAGUAUUUAUGUAUUUUAUGUAUUUUGAGUGUAUUCUGUAAGCACUGUAAUGCAGUAACUCUGGUAAAAGCAGGCAUUGAAAUGUGUUCACUGUGCUCUCCAAAAAUCAGGUGAUAUCCUGGAUUUAUUGUCUUUUAUUUCUAUUUACCUUCAGGAGCUGCCACUGUGCUGUUAAAACUUUGCAUCUCACAAAACAUUCCCAAGGGGAAGAAGCUGGGAGUUAAGUGACCAGCUUGCCUCUGAGUGUUGCUGAUUUGUUUAAUCCAUAUGCCAAAUCUUAGCUGAAAAUCAUUACUAUUGAUCUGUCCUUACAGAGCAUUUUGGGACAUUCAGGUCAAAUAUUUCAGCUAAGCACAAUUUUGUUCCCUGUCUCUUCCUUCGUUUGUCCUUUCCCAAUUAAUCAUUUUAAGGCUGGACUCUAUCCAAGGGAAGCCUUGGCUGGUAUCUCAUUGUUCUCUCUGCAUUUGUUGACUUCUUCACCUUGUUUGGUUUUGGUCUUGUUUGCUUUGAAAGGCAAAAGCUCUGUCUGGGAGAAGACUUUGCUGCAAAAAGGAAAAUUGCCCAUCACAGAUGGAUCUUCACCUCUGGAGAAAAGGGAUUUAUUUCAUCCUCCCUGCAGUGUGAGAGGUGAUACCUGAACAUUCCAGAGGACCUGGCUGAGACCUGUUUGUUCACCUGGGCUGGGCAGGAGCUUGGAACAGAACUGAAGCUCCUGGAUCUGCUCUCAGGACAUCUGAAACAGCCUGGCUGAAGUUUCAUGAAGGAUUUUGAUGCUUUCAAUUUUGAGUGGGGGCUACAUGUGAAAUAACAAAAAUUGCUUUUUGUUCCUUUGCAUCAGCACUGGCAAUCAGUUCUUGGUUAAAAGCUUUGAAUCCAGCAACAUAAAACAUGAAAUAUGGAACAUGAAACAUAAAACAUGAAACAUAAAACAUGAAACAUGAAAAGUAAAACAUGAAAUAUGGAACAUGAAACAUGAAAAGUAAAACAUGAAAUAUGAAACAUGAAAAAUAAAACAUAAAACAC
Molecule: long non-coding RNA, 1405 nt
Organism: Cyanistes caeruleus (blue tit)
Lineage: Eukaryota; Metazoa; Chordata; Aves; Passeriformes; Paridae
Source: Ensembl